RNAcentral lists this ribosomal RNA (250 nucleotides) under uncultured bacterium. RNAcentral describes it as "partial 16S ribosomal RNA". It matches the Rfam family "Bacterial small subunit ribosomal RNA", at positions 524 to 773 of the family's 1533-position model. The record is from RNAcentral.
GACGGAGGGUGCAAGCGUUGCUCGGAAUCACUGGGCGUAAAGGGUGCGUAGGCGGCCUCUUAAGUCUGACGUGAAAGCCCAGGGCUUAGCCCUGGAAGGGCGUUAGAAACUGGGGGGCUCGAGUGCCGGAGGGGAGAGUGGAAUUCCCGGUGUAGCGGUGAAAUGCGUAGAUAUCGGGAAGAAUACCGGUGGCGAAAGCGACUCUCUGGACGGUUACUGACGCUAAGGCACGAAAGCGUGGGGAGCAAAC